Amphiprion ocellaris (clown anemonefish) is the source of this 694-nucleotide long non-coding RNA. Lineage: Eukaryota; Metazoa; Chordata; Actinopteri; Pomacentridae. The record is from Ensembl.
CAGCUGCAGAAACAGCAGCAGCAGCAGAAACAGCAGCAGCAGCAGAAACAGCAGCAGCAGCAGAAACAGCAGCACCAGCAGAAACAGCAGCAGCACCUGAGGAAACAGCAGCAGCACCAGCAGCAGACAGCACUGCUGAGACAGCAGCGAGCUCCUCAGAGGCUGCCGGUGCAGCUCCAGAGCAAGAUAAAGGAGAGGCCACAGCAACUGAUUCAGAGCCCAAAACAGAGGAAGCACCAGCUCCCAGCGAGUGAAGUGCAACACCAGUGACUGCACGGAUGAGUUUUGCGUCUCACCUUGUCUGUAUGCGUGAGUGAAAGUAUGUCUGGGUGUGAAAGACAUCGCCUUGUUGCCAAGAUGCAGACCCCGUGACAACCGCUUUCAGUCAGGGUCCUCGGUCACCACUGUGCCUUUUAUUCCUCUUUCUCGAUGGUGAAUGGCUGCAAUUUCUACUGUACAUAGACAGAGUUCUACAGCACUUAGUGGGAGUGUUUAUUUUCAGAGGAUUUAUCUGUUGAAAUUUCUAUUUAUUAACUGUAUAGGAAUUUAUAUUCGCUAUACUAUACUAUGUCUUUAACCUGAGAGUCCAUAAUUCUUUAAAAACCAAAGCCAAAGUAUAUUUAAGAUAUAAAAUUAUAUUCUUUUUGGGUAGCUGGCUUUGAUUUUCUGACCAUAUUUGUAAUGAAGCUGCUGC